AGAUUGAGUUUGAUCCUGGCUCAGGAUGAACGCUGGCGGCGUGCCUAAUACAUGCAAGUCGAACGAAGAUCUAGCUUGCUAGAUCUUAGUGGCGAACGGGUGAGUAAUACAUAAAUAAUCUGCCCAUAUGACUGGGAUAACUAUUGGAAGCGAUAGCUAAUACCGGAUAGGUUAAUCGGAGGCAUCUCUGAUGAAUUAAAGUAGGAUUUCUACACAAAUGGAUGAGUUUAUGGCGCAUUAGUUAGUUGGUGGGGUAACGGCCUACCAAGACGAUGAUGCGUAGCCGACCUGAGAGGGUGACCGGCCACACUGGGACUGAGACACGGCCCAGACUCCUACGGGAGGCAGCAGUAGGGAAUUUUCGGCAAUGGGCGCAAGCCUGACCGAGCAACGCCGCGUGAGUGAUUAAGGCCUUCGGGUUGUAAAGCUCUGUUGUAAGGGAAGAACAUUCAGGAUAGGAAAUGAUCUUGAACUGACGGUACCUUACCAGAAAGCCACGGCUAACUACGUGCCAGCAGCCGCGGUAAUACGUAGGUGGCAAGCGUUAUCCGGAAUUAUUGGGCGUAAAGGGUGCGUAGGCGGUUUAUUAAGUCUAUGGUGAAAGUGCGGGGCUCAACCCCGUAUGGCCAUAGAAACUGGUAGACUUGAGUGCAGGAGAGGGCAAUGGAAUUCCAUGUGUAGCGGUAAAAUGCGUAGAUAU
RNAcentral lists this ribosomal RNA (700 nucleotides) under Erysipelotrichi bacterium enrichment culture clone Y12. RNAcentral describes it as "bacterial SSU rRNA". It matches the Rfam family "Bacterial small subunit ribosomal RNA", at positions 1 to 697 of the family's 1533-position model. The record is from RNAcentral. Lineage: Bacteria; Bacillati; Bacillota; Erysipelotrichia.